RNAcentral lists this long non-coding RNA (364 nucleotides) under Populus tremula. RNAcentral describes it as "long non-coding RNA (PTRE_LNC001204)". Lineage: Eukaryota; Viridiplantae; Streptophyta; Magnoliopsida; Malpighiales; Salicaceae. The record is from RNAcentral.
CAAGUUUCAUCAACAGCAAAUCCACGCUACAGCUUCACAGUCCCGCCGAAGUCAACCAGAAGACCCAUCCUUUUAGCAAAUCCACACUUUUCUUGCACUCUCAACACCACAUCAACACCCAUCUUCCCCGAUCUCUUCAUCUCCUUUAGCACUGAAGAGAAACCGAACGGUGGAGCAGAGAACACAGACAGCAGAGGAGGCCAGCAUCACCAUCGAUUUCCUUUCUCCAGAAGCAGGGGUCUACCGCCACAUCAACACCCAUCUUCCCCGAUCUCUUCAUCCCUUUUAGCUCUGAAGCUUCCUCCAGCAGUGGCCAACACACGGCAGCCCCUACGGACACCUCAUUUACUUCUGGUGCUCGACC